UAGAAAGAGAGCUUGGGAUCGAAGAUGUGUCCUGCUUUUAACAGCAGGUUUUCAUUUUAUUUAUUUAUUAUGAUUAUUUUUUUAUUUUUUAUGGUCAGUAUUUGUCUGACUUAACCUUCUCACUUUUUCUUAAGGAAUAGCAGUUGGCCAAGAAGACAAAAUGCCUUCUAGCUACAGACACUUGCCAUAGCUGUUGUGGUGUGCCUUGGAACGUGAUGCCCUCCACAGGUGGCAGCCUGCAGCAAAAACUUGGUUGGACCUGCAGAGAUACAGCAGACUUACAUCCCAGUGACAAGGGCUGGCACUUUGGAUUGCAACAUUACCAAAACGAAAAGCAUGAACACUACAAGAAUUUCUGCUCUAUGGAAAAAUGUUAUUUUUGGAUUCUUCAGGAAGGCGUGCAUAUAAAACCACUGGCUCCCUGGUGAGUGAGUAGUCCUUGAGACCAGCAGAACUUUCGUCUUAAUUUUUGGUUGUGGUAGGUGAUGUCAUAGUUGGACGUACAUUGACAUUAAGCUGCAACUGGCAUCUUUGUGACACAAGCCUUCAUGUUUUUCUGUUAAGCACUUACAGCAACUGAUUUCUUACAGCAGGACUGAUGGAAUUAGUCUUUUUGUCCCUUUUUCGUGUGUCAUCUACCACCUGUGUGUCCUUGCAUCAGUAUUACAUUGUUUCAGUAAUUUGCCCUGCCUGAUUGACCUUACAGUUUCUAAAGUGGCAAAUGUUAGAAAGGACUGCCCUUUUGUUCAUUAGCACUGAAGGGCAUGCAUUCAGAGCAAGCAGAUUUGGGAUGUAAUCUUGCUUCCAGUGGGAGGUGUCAGUAUCUUGUCUGUGCUGCAUGGAGAUUCCCAUGAAAUCUCAAGUUUCUGUGGUUUUCCUUUUCAUGCUGAUGGAACUUGCACAUGUUUGUGUGCGGAUAAGGGACUUGUUUGAAGAUGUUUUUCAGUUUGAAUCAGGAAAAUGUCUUGUCCUCUAACUGCUGGUAGGACUGUAUUGCUGUGUUAGUAAAAACACCUUCAUCACUAGGUUUUAUUUAGGAAAACAUUUAUCCAUCAAUAUUAUUUGUAUACAGGGAGGCAAUCUGUGUGAUUUGGCAAAUGGCUUAACAUUCUGUUUUUCUUCUAGUCAAGAAUAUUACUCUUGCUAUAUCUAAUCUAGAGUUGUAAAUUGCAGUAGAGGUACAAAUCCAAAACAAACAUUUUGAAGAAUUUGAAUGGAGUAGAGCCCCAAUUUCCAUUUCAACACUCUCUCUGUUGUCCGAUUUGUUAAACUCAAGUGGUCCCAUGUGCGAGUAGCAUGACUGCCAGAAGUGCUCUGCAGCCAUCUGCUUUUUUGGUAAGUCUUUGAUUAUUUCUUUGUCUAUAUUUCUGUCCGAAAUUAGAACUGGCAACUCAAUUGGUUGGUUAAUAUUGGGUUUUUUAUAAUUUAACAUUUCCAACUUAUGGCUAGGAAAUAGCAGCAAGGUAAUAAAAAGCACAAGAAAUAAACUUUCCUACUGAAG
Molecule: long non-coding RNA, 1501 nt
Filed under: Phasianus colchicus (ring-necked pheasant)
Lineage: Eukaryota; Metazoa; Chordata; Aves; Galliformes; Phasianidae
Description: lncRNA (ENSPCLG00000005389.1)
Source: RNAcentral